GACGAACGCUGGCGGCGUGCUUAACACAUGCAAGUCGAACGGAAAGGCCCUGCUUUUGUGGGGUGCUCGAGUGGCGAACGGGUGAGUAACACGUGAGUAACCUGCCCUUGACUUUGGGAUAACUUCAGGAAACUGGGGCUAAUACCGGAUAGGAGCUCCUGCUGCAUGGUGGGGGUUGGAAAGUUUCGGCGGUUGGGGAUGGACUCGCGGCUUAUCAGCUUGUUGGUGGGGUAGUGGCUUACCAAGGCUUUGACGGGUAGCCGGCCUGAGAGGGUGACCGGCCACAUUGGGACUGAGAUGCGGCACGGACUCCUACGGGAGGCAGCAGUGGGGAAUAUUGCACAAUGGGCGGAAGCCUGAUGCAGCAACGCCGCGUGCGGGAUGACGGCCUUCGGGUUGUAAACCGCUUUCGACUGUGACGAAGCGUGAGUGACGGUAAUGGGUAAAGAAGCACCGGCUAACUACGUG
This 468-nucleotide ribosomal RNA is filed under the name uncultured bacterium. Its description in RNAcentral is "partial 16S ribosomal RNA". It matches the Rfam family "Bacterial small subunit ribosomal RNA", at positions 28 to 507 of the family's 1533-position model. The record is from RNAcentral.